Molecule: ribosomal RNA, 253 nt
Filed under: uncultured bacterium
Lineage: Bacteria
Description: partial 16S ribosomal RNA
Rfam family: Bacterial small subunit ribosomal RNA
Source: RNAcentral
GACGUAGGGCGCGAGCGUUGUCCGGAAUUAUUGGGCGUAAAGGGCGCGUAGGCGGCUUGAUGUGUCAAAGGUGAAAUCCCUCGGCUCAACUGAGGAACUGCCUUUGAAACUGUCUGGCUUGAGGCCGGGAGAGGGUAGCGGAAUUCCCAGUGUAGCGGUGAAAUGCGUAGAUACUGGGAGGAACACCGGUGGCGAAGGCGGCUACCUGGACCGGUUCUGACGCUGAUGCGCGAAAGCGUGGGUAGCAAACAGG